This 429-nucleotide ribosomal RNA is filed under the name Chloroflexota bacterium. RNAcentral's name for it is "Chloroflexi bacterium partial 16S ribosomal RNA". It matches the Rfam family "Bacterial small subunit ribosomal RNA", at positions 355 to 776 of the family's 1533-position model. The record is from RNAcentral. Lineage: Bacteria; Bacillati; Chloroflexota.
UGGGGAAUAUUGCACAAUGGGCGCAAGCCUGAUGCAGCCAUGCCGCGGGUAUGAAGAAGGCCUUCGGGUUGUAAAGUACUUUCAGUCGGGAGGAAGGUGUCAAGGUUAAUAACCUUGGCAAUUGACGUUACCGACAGAAGAAGCACCGGCUAACUCCGUGCCAGCAGCCGCGGUAAUACGGAGGGUGCAAGCGUUAAUCGGAAUUACUGGGCGGAAAGCGCACGCAGGCGGUUGAUUGAGUCAGAUGUGAAAUCCCCGGGCUUAACCCGGGAAUUGCAUCUGAUACUGGUCAGCUAGAGUCGUGUAGAGGGGGGUAGAAUUCCAUGUGUAGCGGUGAAAUGCGUAGAGAUGUGGAGGAAUACCGGUGGCGAAGGCGGCCCCCUGGACAAAGACUGACGCUCAGGUGCGAAAGCGUGGGGAGCAAACAGG